RNAcentral lists this unclassified non-coding RNA (292 nucleotides) under plant metagenome. RNAcentral's name for it is "partial contains small subunit ribosomal RNA, internal transcribed spacer 1, and 5.8S ribosomal RNA". The record is from RNAcentral.
UUUCCGUAGGUGAACCUGCGGAAGGAUCAUUAUUGAAUAAACCUGAUUUGGUUGUAGCUGGCCCUUUGGGGGGCAUGUGCACACCCGUCGUCUUUAUCUUUCCACCUGUGCACCUUUUGUAGACCUGAAUGUAACACUUUCCUAGGCAACUCGGUCGGGAUGAAUGCUGUCAGCUUUCCUUGAAUGUCCAGGCCUAUGUUUUCAUAUACCUCAGAGCAUGUAACAGAAUGUAUUAUUGGGCCUUGUGCCUAUAAACUAUAUACAACUUUCAGCAACGGAUCUCUUGGCUCUC